GAUGAAGAACGUAGCGAAAUGCGAUAAGUAAUGUGAAUUGCAGAAUUCAGUGAAUCAUCGAAUCUUUGAACGCACAUUGCGCCCCCCAGUAUUCUGGCGGGCAUGCCUGUUCGAGCGUCAUUUCAACCAUCAAGCCCUGCUUGUGUUGGGGUCCUGCGGCUGCCCGCAGGCCCUGAAAACCAGUGGCGGGCUCGCUAGUCACACCGAGCGCAGUAGCACAUCUCGCUCAGGGCGUGCGGCGGGCUCCAGCCGUUAAAGCACCCACCUUUCGCAAGGUUGACCUCGGAUCAGGUAGGAAUACCCGCUGAACUUAAGCAUAUCAAUAAGGAGGA
RNAcentral lists this unclassified non-coding RNA (332 nucleotides) under soil metagenome. Its description in RNAcentral is "partial contains 5.8S ribosomal RNA, internal transcribed spacer 2, and large subunit ribosomal RNA". The stretch from base 1 to 120 matches the Rfam family "5.8S ribosomal RNA", at positions 35 to 154 of the family's 154-position model. The record is from RNAcentral.